AGUUUUGCACAGUGGCAGUGUCAUAACCAAUGAGGUUUAUCCGAGGUGUGAUUAUUGUUAAUUGAAUCUAAAAUGGAAUCAAUUG
Small nuclear RNA from Cavia aperea (Brazilian guinea pig), 85 nucleotides. Its record names the gene U4. It matches the Rfam family "U4 spliceosomal RNA". Rfam says of the family: U4 small nuclear RNA (U4 snRNA) is a component of the major U2-dependent spliceosome. NCBI's taxonomy places the organism in Eukaryota, Metazoa, Chordata, Mammalia, Rodentia, Caviidae. The record is from Ensembl.